RNAcentral lists this ribosomal RNA (495 nucleotides) under Triticum aestivum (bread wheat). RNAcentral describes it as "partial small subunit ribosomal RNA". The record is from RNAcentral. Lineage: Eukaryota; Viridiplantae; Streptophyta; Magnoliopsida; Poales; Poaceae.
AUGCUUCGACAAUUCCUCGACCUAUGGCAGCGUGUGGAACGGCUCAACAUCCAACCGACAUCAAGCGACACCGUCUACUGGGCUUGGGAGAAGGACGACAAGUUUUCGGCGAGAUCGGUUUACGCGGCCAAGUUCGCCGACCUCCAAGUCACUCCUACGGCUGAUUUCACCUGGAAGUCUAAGGCGCCGCUACGCAAGCGUUUCUUCGUUUGGUUGGCCAUCAAGGACAGGUGCUGGACCUCAGAUAGAUUAGCACGGCGGGGCCUCCCACACCAAGCCUCAUGUCCCCUCUGUAGCCAGCACGACGAAACAAUGACACACAUCAUGAUCGGAUGUGUUUUUGCUCGGGAGGUUUGGACAAAGGUUUGCCUUGCCCCGGGCCAGCCAGACCGGGCACCAACGACGAACGAGACGCUGCCUGACUGGUGCCUUCGACAAGAGGACUAUGGGAAACACAAGAAACUCGCAAGGCCAAUUUGCAUUCUCGUCCUCUAG